Molecule: ribosomal RNA, 563 nt
Filed under: uncultured Glomeromycotina
Lineage: Eukaryota; Fungi; Glomeromycota
Description: SSU rRNA
Rfam family: Eukaryotic small subunit ribosomal RNA
Source: RNAcentral
UUGGAGGGCAAGUCUGGUGCCAGCAGCCGCGGUAAUUCCAGCUCCAAUAGCGUAUAUUAAAGUUGUUGCAGUUAAAAAGCUCGUAGUUGAAUUUCGGGACCAAUUUGUUGGUCGUGCCUCGGUACGUACUGGUAUUAUUGGUUUCUACCUUCUGAAGAACCUUGAUGUCAUUAAUUUGGUGUCUUGGGGAAUCAGGACUGUUACUUUGAAAAAAUUAGAGUGUUUAAAGCAAGCAUACGCUUGAAUACAUUAGCAUGGAAUAAUGAAAUAGGACGUUUGAUUCUAUUUUGUUGGUUUCUAGGAUCGACGUAAUGAUUAAUAGGGAUAGUUGGGGGCAUUAGUAUUCAAUUGUCAGAGGUGAAAUUCUUGGAUUUAUUGAAGACUAACUACUGCGAAAGCAUUUGCCAAGGAUGUUUUCAUUAAUCAAGAACGAAAGUUAGGGGAUCGAAGACGAUCAGAUACCGUCGUAGUCUUACCAUAAACUAUGCCGACUAGGGAUCGGAUGGUGUUAAUUUUUUAAUGACUCAUUCGGCGCCUUACGGGAAACCAAAGUGUUUGGGUUC